Molecule: ribosomal RNA, 253 nt
Filed under: uncultured bacterium
Lineage: Bacteria
Description: partial 16S ribosomal RNA
Rfam family: Bacterial small subunit ribosomal RNA
Source: RNAcentral
GACGAACCGUGCGAACGUUGUUCGGAAUCACUGGGCUUAAAGGGCGCGUAGGCGGACCGGCGAGUCAGGGGUGAAAGCCCGCGGCCUAACCGCGGAAGUGCCCCUGAUACCGCCGGCCUUGAGGGGGAUAGGGGCGUGCGGAACUUCGGGUGGAGCGGUGAAAUGCGUAGAUAUCCGAAGGAACACCGGUGGCGAAGGCGGCACGCUGGGUCCCUACUGACGCUGAGGCGCGAAAGCCAGGGGAGCGAACGGG